RNAcentral lists this long non-coding RNA (1047 nucleotides) under Apteryx rowi (Okarito brown kiwi). Its description in RNAcentral is "lncRNA (ENSARWG00000013298.1)". The record is from RNAcentral. Lineage: Eukaryota; Metazoa; Chordata; Aves; Apterygiformes; Apterygidae.
CUGCAGAGGAGCUCUCCUUCUCCAACAGCUUGAGACUCUAGGUCUCCGUGCUCGGAUAAGCAGCACCUAAGCCCUUAGUAGUUUGGACUCUUCAUCCGAAGCCAAACCUCUCACUAACGCUUAUUUCUCUCCCAGGAAGGUGUUACAACACUUCAGGAAGCAAUGCAAUGCAAUGAAAUUCAAGAGACUGGGUUGUUGUCCUCUCUAGGCAGGUAGAAGUUGGAGCAGGACUUGAAGGGAGCUAUGGCUUUUUAAAAGGAGACUGCCUUCAAAAACAGAUAAGGAGAAAGAACUUUCUCAUAGUAAUGCUACUGCCUUAAUACCGUUUCCUCCUGCCGCCAUAUAUAUCUAGCUGCUUGCAGCUGCCAGGAGACCGAAGGAUGCAGGCAACAAGAGACUGCUAAAGGCAGGAUCCCUUAACAAAAUCUCAGUUACGUGCUGAUGUUCAGAGGAAGAGAGAUAACUGGUUAGGCCGUUUUUAUCUUUGAUGCAAGUGCCAACUGUAAGGAGUCUUCAAGGCUGUAAUGCAUGCAGAGUAUCAUGUGUACGUUCAAGACAAAAAUACUUAGUAGACAUGGAAGACAUUCGCACGCCCCAUCUGGGAUUCCUGACAGCUUGCCAUCUCAUACGUGACAUGGGCCACCUAUGGAAGAACAAUAGAAAUAGAAACCAGCUGGAAGGACUGCUUCCCUCUGCGAUCUGAUGUGAAGCUUGGACUCAAAGCUGGAGAGACGGAGAGAUGGCUGAGCCCAGGCAGGCGUAGCACCAGGCCCAGGAGGAGAAGACCUCGGGCUGGAGGAGAGGUGGCAUUGCCAAGCGGGGUCCUUCCCCCCCUGCCAAUGUAGAGGCAGCAGGGGGCUUCAUCGCAGCUGCUGGGCUCUGCCCCAUGACCAACGCCAAGGACCCGAAGGGCGCGAUGGACCCCUCACCGGCGACCCCCAGCGCGGCAGCAGGCCCCGUUACCUUCUCCCAGGUGUUUGGACAGCAGUGCCAGCUCAUGGAAGCAGGUAAGAGAGCGAGACACGUGUGAUAUAACCUAAACUUCUU